RNAcentral lists this ribosomal RNA (249 nucleotides) under uncultured bacterium. RNAcentral describes it as "partial 16S ribosomal RNA". It matches the Rfam family "Bacterial small subunit ribosomal RNA", at positions 57 to 305 of the family's 1533-position model. The record is from RNAcentral.
GCAAGUCGAGGGGUAACAGGAGUGCUUGCACUUGCUGACGACCGGCGCACGGGUGCGUAACGCGUAUACAAUCUGCCUUGUAGUAGGGGAUAGCCUUUAGAAAUGAAGAUUAAUACCCUAUAGUCUAUUUGAUUGGCAUCAAUUAAAUAGUAAAGGUUACGGUACAAGAUGAGUAUGCGUCCUAUUAGUUAGUUGGUAAGGUAACGGCUUACCAAGACAACGAUAGGUAGGGGCCCUGAGAGGGGGAUC